CGUGAUCAGCUUUACUUUCCUAUAAUGUUGUUCAUAUACCCAAACUCGAAGGAGUUUCACAUUAAGAAGAGCAGCAGACGCGGAAUAAUUUGUUCGAGCCCCUUGAAAUUCAUUUUACAAAUGCAUUUCUUGCAGUUCGAAAAUCUUUCUCUGCCAGGUGUUGAUUUUUGAAAUGUGAAGCUCAUUCGAUUUUGAAUAUAUGAGCAACAUUUCUUGAUAUGUAAGAGCAACGAAGUGCG
Non-coding RNA from Drosophila melanogaster (fruit fly), 239 nucleotides. The record is from Ensembl. NCBI's taxonomy places the organism in Eukaryota, Metazoa, Arthropoda, Insecta, Diptera, Drosophilidae.